This is a long non-coding RNA of Sinocyclocheilus rhinocerous, 86 nucleotides long. RefSeq lists it as uncharacterized. Lineage: Eukaryota; Metazoa; Chordata; Actinopteri; Cypriniformes; Cyprinidae. The record is from RefSeq and is a predicted model, not a curated record. The transcript has 3 exons.
UUGUUGCUUUUCUGAAUGUUUGAGUGCAUAUUUCCACUGUCCAGCACUGGGACGCUCAGGUUUAUCCUGCAGUACAGGGGUCUAGU